GCUCACCCGUGACCCGCCCACACACGGGCCUCCACAAAACUGCGAUCAGUGAGCUGAGCUGUGAUCAGCGCCCACCCGGCCAUGGCCCUGGCACUGACAGCGUCGAGAGCCACAAAGUCAUCAGCUAAGAGCCCCAAAAUCCCAGCAUUUACUCAGAACUUACUCUGCACUAGCACUGUGUCUCCCACGUACCAACCCAGUUAAUCACCAAGUUCAUCACUCAGCUGAACAGCGCAGCCCGCCUGGGUGGAAGGCAGGGCGCUCACACAACCAGCAGGUGGCAGAGCGCACAUAGUGGCGCCUCCUCUCAGGACCCCUAAGACACCUCAUUGUCCACGCCCACAUGCUGGGCAAAAGCAGCCACCCAAGCAGAGGUGACACCUGGCUUGUGGGACUCUAGAGCAGACUGUUCUGUCCUUUUUUCCAGGAAUUCAGUAUAUAAUGCAAAUGGGCUUACAUUAUUUUUAUAAUCAGAGGAAACUAUAGAAACAAUGUCUCUUUUUAAGCUAUCCCCCCCAACACACAAAC
Molecule: long non-coding RNA, 528 nt
Organism: Lutra lutra (Eurasian river otter)
Lineage: Eukaryota; Metazoa; Chordata; Mammalia; Carnivora; Mustelidae
Exons: 2
Source: RefSeq, a predicted model, not a curated record